This 238-nucleotide ribosomal RNA is filed under the name uncultured bacterium. RNAcentral's name for it is "partial 16S ribosomal RNA". It matches the Rfam family "Bacterial small subunit ribosomal RNA", at positions 96 to 334 of the family's 1533-position model. The record is from RNAcentral.
CGGCGGACGGGUGAGUAACGCGUGGGUAACCUACCCUGUACACACGGAUAACAUACCGAAAGGUAUGCUAAUACGGGAUAAUAUAUUUGAGAGGCAUCUCUUAAAUAUCAAAGGUGAGCCAGUACAGGAUGGACCCGCGUCUGAUUAGCUAGUUGGUAAGGUAACGGCUUACCAAGGCGACGAUCAGUAGCCGACCUGAGAGGGUGAUCGGCCACAUUGGAACUGAGACACGGUCCAA